AAAAAAAAAGGAAUUUAUUUAAUAUUUUUUAUUUUAAAAUUAAGGGUUUUUGCUCAAGGAAAUCUAUUUAAAAGAUAUUUUGAGAUCAUUAUUCUAAAUGCAUAAUGAAUCUCAUUUGCCUCAAUAGAAGAUCAUCAUAAAAACAAAAACAGGGAAAACAGUGCUAUUAAAUUCCAGUUAUAUACUGAGGCCUGCCAAAGGCUCCGAGCUGAAGCCUGUUUCCUUACUGUAAAAACAAACAAACAACAACAACAACAACAAAAAAAAAACAGAAUUCAGCAAGUAUUACAGGGAUCAGAGACAUACUGGCACCAAUUUAAAUAUCCUCUUUCAAACGACUGAAAGAGAAUUGUAAAGGGAAUAGCUUGUUCAGUAUGUGAUUUACUGCUCUUCAAUGCCAACAUGCGUCUUCCAUCUCGAAUCACCUCAGCAUGCUUCUAUACUUUGACAGAGCCAUCAGAAGACAAAAGUAAAGGAGCAGUGUUCAUUUACCAUUGACUGGUCUUGUGUUCAAAGGUGUGUCAUAUAUACUGAUUGUAUAUUUUCAGUGGCAUACAUUAUAUUCUAUUUUCCAUGAAGUUCAACUUCCAUUCAGAAUCAGAAAAAAAAUAUAUUUUUCUCUAAUUUUUAAACUUGAGAGCAGCCUUAAGAAAGAACAAGAUCAUGCCUUUUGUGAGAACCCGGAUGGAAGUGAAGGCUGUUAGCCUUAGCAAAGUAACACAGGAACAGAAAACCAAAUACCUCAUGUUUUCACUUAUAAGUGGGAGCUAAAUGAUAAGAAUUUAUGAACACAAAGAAGGAAACAACAGACACUGGGGUCUACUUGAGGGUGGAGGGUGGGAGGAGGGAUAGGAACACAAAAAUAACUUGAGUAAUGGGCUUAAUACCUGGGUGAUGAAAUAAUCCGUACAAUAUACCCCCGCGACACGAGUUUACCUAUGUAACAAACCGCAUGGGCCCCUGAAUCUAAAAUAAAAGUUAAAAAAAAAAACUUGAGAGGCAAAAUCUGGUUUUCUGAGAGGGGAAAUACAUCUGGUGAUUUGGCUGUAUACUGUGACACACUCCACAGUAUGGAUUAAAAUUAUGAACAGGCUUGUAAAAUAAGCUUCUUCCAAAUCUACUGCUAACAGGUUAAAAACAAUAACUAAGCCAACAAUUUGAAAGAAGGCUUUCAAAUUUUUAAAAAAGUGUUUUCAAAACUUAAAACUGUACAAGUAAUAUUUAUUUAAGCCAUCAGAAGUAGCUCUGUCUUGCCCUUACUUUUAUAAUAAGAAAUAAGCCUGGGAUGAUAUUUGCAAGUAAUAGAGUUAAGAAUAAACACAUGAAUAAUAGAUUUAAAAAACAUAAUUUGAUAUAAUUCUCAGGCCACUUUUCAAAUGGUGUUAAAAUACAAAAUUUGGUGCAUUUAUUAACCUUUUAUAAUUUAUUUAAAAAGAAAUUUUGUGCCUGAAAAUCCAAUGCUAAUUACUUUAGGAACAUUCUAAAAUUACUUCACAAUUUACAUGCUGCUUAAAACAUAUUCUUACUCUAAAUAUUUUAUUGAAAAUGUUAUAUACUUAAUCAGAAGUAGGUAUCAUGUAUUAGGAAAUACAAUUCAUACUAAGAACAACUACAAAAUACAAAAACUGUUAGUUCAUAUUUUCCAUUUCAUUUAUUCAACAAAUAUUUAUUAAGUGACUAGUAUACGUCAGCCAAUGUUCUAGCUAGUGAAUAUACAAAAGUUAAUAAAAGACCAUAGUUAAUAAAACUUUUGCCCUCUUGGAAAUUACAUUCGCGUCCUUUAGGCUCUAAUUGAAAGGUAACAAGAAAUGUAAUGUUUCCAGUUUUAAGAAAAUUAUUUUUAUUUUACUGUGAUUUGCAGUCAAAGGAGUAUUACAAAAAUAAUAUAAUCUCAUUUCUUAGUUUUUAUAUUAAUCUUUUAGAGUGUAUGAAAAGACAAUAAAACCUGUAAACAGAGACAAAACAUUUUCCUUUGUCUUUUAGACUUCCUUCUGUUCUUAUUUUCACUGUUUUAUAGCAAAGCCCUAGGGGCAGGGACCCAUCCAUGACUUACUUGUCUUUGUGUUCCAAGCAUCCAGCCCUACACCUGGCACAUUCUUGGUGCUCAACAAGCUGUACUGAAUAAACCAAUAACUUCAGUAUACAGGUAUUUAUAGUAAAAUCACACCAGGAGAAACCAAAACUACUGCAUGGACAUUUAACAAAAGAUAUCCAAAGUGGUCUGAAUGGGAACUGUUUGUGUUACCACAUUCUUACACCUAUCUGGGAUGCCUCCAAGAACACUCUAAAGCCUUGAAACUGUUUGAUCUCUUCCAGAGGGCCUUCAGAGGAUAAUCAGACAACCAUAAUUGUUACCUUCCAGGAUGGAAUGUGCAUCUUUUUGCUUUCCCCUAACAAAUCCUCAGGCGUGGAAGUGGGAGAACACUGUGUGUGUAUGCUGGAGUCGGGAGGUGGUAUUAGGGGUGGCAUGAGCAACAACAAGUGGUAAAGUGGAAAAACAGAAUCCAUGCUUCUUCAUCUGACUUGUCUCAGAUACAGGUGAAUGCCUCCGUUCUUUCUGAGCUACCAUAUUGACUACAGUGUUGUUAUACAGACGUACAGAAUUGGAUGCUUAAAAGCUUAAAAUUUUAUCCUUCCUUCAUUUUCCUUUCUCCUACCACUUCGCCCAGCACCAUAGGGCGUUUAAGGCAAAGUAAAGUGGGCCAAAAGUGCCAUUCUUAAUCUGGGAAGAAUACACUAUCUAAAUGUGCCCAGAAAACAAACAAGGAUAGAUUUCACUGUUUAACUGUAGAAACCAGUUACAAGUCAGAAGAAACAGUAUCUGCCCUGACACAUUUCCUUUUCAGCAUCAUGUUCAGCCAGACACAGACAAGCUUGGGAAGAGGAUUUCAUAUUGUUUCUUCAAACUCUGGAAACAAUUCCACUUGAAGGCUCAAUAGUUCAGAACAGGACCCACAGCUGCAAAAACCGUGACAAUUAGAGGGGCUAAGAGAAACUUCCAGCAGUGAUUUCUGCAGUUGAAGAAUUUAAGGAAUUAAGCAGACUUACUCAUUUGAAAUAUCAACUCAACUACUCCAGACAAAACCUGUCACUAAUACUGAAGAAAAAGAUUUAACUUUAAUUAUAUGUAUUCCAUUGUAGCAUUACUCAUUUCUAUAACAUGUUUUCACAAAAAGAAAAAAAAAAAGUUCUAUACGUGAUUAAAGUCUUUUGCUUUCAGUAUCAUCAUCAUCAUCCUAUCCAUUGCUGCAACAUAAAGAAUUUCCCAUCUCAAAGAAUGCCUUGUAUCCCGAUCAGCAAAGUAGGCACACUCUGGGAGGCCAGCCAGGAUGUGGGAAUGGCCUCCUAUAAAACUAGAUUUUUGUGUGUAUGUUAAAACGGGAUUCUACCUGUCUUUGCAGUAAUUUUAUAUUAAUAAAUGCUCUUUAACGUUCAAGAA
Long non-coding RNA from Cebus imitator (Panamanian white-faced capuchin), 3439 nucleotides. RefSeq lists it as uncharacterized. The record is from RefSeq and is a predicted model, not a curated record. Lineage: Eukaryota; Metazoa; Chordata; Mammalia; Primates; Cebidae. The transcript is spliced from 2 exons.